AGUGAACGCUGGCGGUAGGCCUAACACAUGCAAGUCGAACGGCAGCACAGUAAGAGCUUGCUCUUACGGGUGGCGAGUGGCGGACGGGUGAGGAAUACAUCGGAAUCUACUUUUUCGUGGGGGAUAACGUAGGGAAACUUACGCUAAUACCGCAUACGACCUACGGGUGAAAGCAGGGGAUCUUCGGACCUUGCGCGAUUGAAUGAGCCGAUGUCGGAUUAGCUAGUUGGCGGGGUAAAGGCCCACCAAGGCGACGAUCCGUAGCUGGUCUGAGAGGAUGAUCAGCCACACUGGAACUGAGACACGGUCCAGACUCCUACUGGAGGCAGCAGUGGGGAAUAUUGGACAAUGGGCGCAAUCCUGAUCCAGCCAUACCGCGUGGGUGAAGAAGGCCUUCGGGUUGUAAAGCCCUUUUGUUGGGAAAGAAAAGCAGCAGGUUAAUACCCCGCUGUUCUGACGGUACCCAAAGAAUAAGCACCGGCUAACUUCGUG
This 492-nucleotide ribosomal RNA is filed under the name uncultured bacterium. RNAcentral's name for it is "partial 16S ribosomal RNA". It matches the Rfam family "Bacterial small subunit ribosomal RNA", at positions 29 to 507 of the family's 1533-position model. The record is from RNAcentral.